GGAGAGGUGCGAGAGUGGCCGAGUCGGCGUGCUUGGAAAGCACGUGUACUAGCAAUGGUACCGUGGGUUCGAAUCCCACCCUCUCCGCCA
Molecule: transfer RNA, 90 nt
Filed under: Nitrospirota bacterium
Lineage: Bacteria; Pseudomonadati; Nitrospirota
Description: Nitrospirae bacterium tRNA-Ser
Rfam family: tRNA
About the family: Transfer RNA (tRNA) molecules are approximately 80 nucleotides in length. Their secondary structure includes four short double-helical elements and three loops (D, anti-codon, and T loops).
Source: RNAcentral